GUUGUUUUGGCAGAAUAGUGCGGUGGAUUUAGAAUCUUUGUAUGUAAGAAAGAUUUUUUACAAAUAACA
This 69-nucleotide transfer RNA is filed under the name Dryocoetes autographus. RNAcentral's name for it is "tRNA-Leu". Lineage: Eukaryota; Metazoa; Arthropoda; Insecta; Coleoptera; Curculionidae. The record is from RNAcentral.